RNAcentral lists this ribosomal RNA (120 nucleotides) under Ammodytes personatus (Pacific sandeel). RNAcentral's name for it is "partial 16S ribosomal RNA". Lineage: Eukaryota; Metazoa; Chordata; Actinopteri; Uranoscopiformes; Ammodytidae. The record is from RNAcentral.
AUAAGACGAGAAGACCCUAUGGAGCUUUAGACGCCAAGACAGACCAUGUUAAACACCUCCCCACAAGGAGCCCAAACCAAAUGGUCCCUGCCCUAGUGUCUUUGGUUGGGGCGACCGCGG